This 1401-nucleotide ribosomal RNA is filed under the name uncultured bacterium. RNAcentral's name for it is "bacterial SSU rRNA". It matches the Rfam family "Bacterial small subunit ribosomal RNA". The record is from RNAcentral.
AGAGUUUGUUUCUGGCUCAGAUUGAACGCUGGCGGCAGGCCUAACACAUGCAAGUCGAACGGUAACAGGAAGAAGCUUGCUUCUUUGCUGACGAGUGGCGGACGGGUGAGUAAUGUCUGGGAAACUGCCUGAUGGAGGGGGAUAACUACUGGAAACGGUAGCUAAUACCGCAUAACGUCGCAAGACCAAAGAGGGGGACCUUCGGGCCUCUUGCCAUCGGAUGUGCCCAGAUGGGAUUAGCUUGUUGGUGGGGUAACGGCUCACCAAGGCGACGAUCCCUAGCUGGUCUGAGAGGAUGACCAGCCACACUGGAACUGAGACACGGUCCAGACUCCUACGGGAGGCAGCAGUGGGGAAUAUUGCACAAUGGGCGCAAGCCUGAUGCAGCUAUGCCGCGUGUAUGAAGAAGGCCUUCGGGUUGUAAAGUACUUUCAGCGGGGAGGAAGGGAGUAAAGUUAAUACCUUUGCUCAUUGACGUUACCCGCAGAAGAAGCACCGGCUAACUCCGUGCCAGCAGCCGCGGUAAUACGGAGGGUGCAAGCGUUAAUCGGAAUUACUGGGCGUAAAGCGCACGCAGGCGGUUUGUUAAGUCAGAUGUGAAAUCCCCGGGCUCAACCUGGGAACUGCAUCUGAUACUGGCAAGCUUGAGUCUCGUAGAGGGGGGUAGAAUUCCAGGUGUAGCGGUGAAAUGCGUAGAGAUCUGGAGGAAUACCGGUGGCGAAGGCGGCCCCCUGGACGAAGACUGACGCUCAGGUGCGAAAGCGUGGGGAGCAAACAGGAUUAGAUACCCUGGUAGUCCACGCCGUAAACGAUGUCGACUUGGAGGUUGUGCCCUUGAGGCGUGGCUUCCGGAGCUAACGCGUUAAGUCGACCGCCUGGGGAGUACGGCCGCAAGGUUAAAACUCAAAUGAAUUGACGGGGGCCCGCACAAGCGGUGGAGCAUGUGGUUUAAUUCGAUGCAACGCGAAGAACCUUACCUGGUCUUGACAUCCACGGAAGUUUUCAGAGAUGAGAAUGUGCCUUCGGGAACCGUGAGACAGGUGCUGCAUGGCUGUCGUCAGCUCGUGUUGUGAAAUGUUGGGUUAAGUCCCGCAACGAGCGCAACCCUUAUCCUUUGUUGCCAGCGGUCCGGCCGGGAACUCAAAGGAGACUGCCAGUGAUAAACUGGAGGAAGGUGGGGAUGACGUCAAGUCAUCAUGGCCCUUACGACCAGGGCUACACACGUGCUACAAUGGCGCAUACAAAGAGAAGCGACCUCGCGAGAGCAAGCGGACCUCAUAAAGUGCGUCGUAGUCCGGAUUGGAGUCUGCAACUCGACUCCAUGAAGUCGGAAUCGCUAGUAAUCGUGGAUCAGAAUGCCACGGUGAAUACGUAGCCGGGCCUUGCACACACCGCCCGUCA